AUUGAACGCUGGCGGCAGGCUUAACACAUGCAAGUCGAGCGGAGAGAGGUAGCUUGCUACUGAUCUUAGCGGCGGACGGGUGAGUAAUACUUAGGAAUCUGGCUAUUAGUGGGGGACAACAUUUCGAAAGGGAUGCUAAUACCGCAUACGUCCUACGGGAGAAAGCAGGGGAUCUUCGGACCUUGCGCUAAUAGAUGAGCCUAAGUCGGAUUAGCUAGUUGGUGGGGUAAAGGCCUACCAAGGCGACGAUCUGUAGCGGGUCUGAGAGGAUGAUCCGCCACACUGGGACUGAGACACGGCCCAGACUCCUACGGGAGGCAGCAGUGGGGAAUAUUGGACAAUGGGGGGAACCCUGAUCCAGCCAUGCCGCGUGUGUGAAGAAGGCCUUAUGGUUGUAAAGCACUUUAAGCGAGGAGGAGGGUACUGGUAUUAAUACUACCAGGUACUGGACGUUACUCGCAGAAUAAGUACCGGCUAACUCUGUGCCAGCCGCCGCCGUAA
RNAcentral lists this ribosomal RNA (501 nucleotides) under uncultured bacterium. RNAcentral's name for it is "partial 16S ribosomal RNA". It matches the Rfam family "Bacterial small subunit ribosomal RNA", at positions 30 to 523 of the family's 1533-position model. The record is from RNAcentral.